AUUGAACGCUGGCGGCAUGCCUUACACAUGCAAGUCGAACGGCAGCACGGGAGCAAUCCUGGUGGCGAGUGGCGAACGGGUGAGUAAUAUAUCGGAACGUGCCCAGUAAUGGGGGAUAGCCCGGCGAAAGCCGGAUUAAUACCGCAUACGACCUACGGGUGAAAGCGGGGGAUCGCAAGACCUCGCGUUAUUGGAGCGGCCGAUAUCAGAUUAGCUUGUUGGCGGGGUAAAAGCCCACCAAGGCGACGAUCUGUAGCUGGUCUGAGAGGACGACCAGCCACACUGGGACUGAGACACGGCCCAGACUCCUACGGGAGGCAGCAGUGGGGAAUUUUGGACAAUGGGCGCAAGCCUGAUCCAGCCAUGCCGCGUGUGGGAAGAAGGCCUUCGGGUUGUAACCACUUUGUCAGGGAAGAAACGGCUCUUACUAAUAUUAGGAGCUAAUGACGGUACCUGAAGAAUAAGCACCGGCUAACUAACGUGCCAGCAGCCGCGGUAAU
RNAcentral lists this ribosomal RNA (500 nucleotides) under uncultured bacterium. RNAcentral's name for it is "bacterial SSU rRNA". It matches the Rfam family "Bacterial small subunit ribosomal RNA", at positions 30 to 524 of the family's 1533-position model. The record is from RNAcentral.